UCCCUGGAGGACUAGUGGUUAGGCCACAGCGCUGUCACUGCUGUGGCCUGGGUUCGAUUCCUGGCCAGGGAA
This 72-nucleotide transfer RNA is filed under the name Pangasianodon gigas (Mekong giant catfish). RNAcentral's name for it is "tRNA-Asp". It matches the Rfam family "tRNA". From Rfam's summary of the family: Transfer RNA (tRNA) molecules are approximately 80 nucleotides in length. Their secondary structure includes four short double-helical elements and three loops (D, anti-codon, and T loops). Further hydrogen bonds mediate the characteristic L-shaped molecular structure. tRNAs have two regions of fundamental functional importance: the anti-codon, which is responsible for specific mRNA codon recognition, and the 3' end, to which the tRNAs corresponding amino acid is attached (by aminoacyl-tRNA synthetases). tRNAs cope with the degeneracy of the genetic code in two manners: having more than one tRNA (with a specific anti-codon) for a particular amino acid; and 'wobble' base-pairing, i.e. permitting non-standard base-pairing at the 3rd anti-codon position. Lineage: Eukaryota; Metazoa; Chordata; Actinopteri; Siluriformes; Pangasiidae. The record is from RNAcentral.